This is a non-coding RNA of Salmo salar (Atlantic salmon), 54 nucleotides long. The record is from Rfam. NCBI's taxonomy places the organism in Eukaryota, Metazoa, Chordata, Actinopteri, Salmoniformes, Salmonidae.
UGUAUUCACGACUGUAAGUCGCUCUGGAUAAGAACGUCUGCUAAAUGACUAAAA